Molecule: ribosomal RNA, 447 nt
Filed under: uncultured bacterium
Lineage: Bacteria
Description: bacterial SSU rRNA
Rfam family: Bacterial small subunit ribosomal RNA
Source: RNAcentral
UUCCAGACUCCUACGGGAGGCAGCAGUGGGGAAUAUUGCACAAUGGGGGAAACCCUGAUGCAGCAACGCCGCGUGAGUGAAGAAGUAUUUCGGUAUGUAAAGCUCUAUCAGCAGGGAAGAAGAUGACGGUACCUGAGUAAGAAGCCCCGGCUAACUACGUGCCAGCAGCCGCGGUAAUACGUAGGGGGCAAGCGUUAUCCGGAUUUACUGGGUGUAAAGGGAGCGUAGACGGUGAGACAAGUCUGAAGUGAAAGCCUGGGGCUCAACCCCGGGACUGCUUUGGAAACUGCCUGACUGGAGUGCUGGAGAGGCAAGCGGAAUUCCUAGUGUAGCGGUGAAAUGCGUAGAUAUUAGGAAGAACACCAGUGGCGAAGGCGGCUUGCUGGACAGUAACUGACGUUGAGGCUCGAAAGCGUGGGGAGCAAACAGGAUUAGAUACCCCGGUAC